Molecule: ribosomal RNA, 194 nt
Filed under: uncultured bacterium
Lineage: Bacteria
Description: partial 16S ribosomal RNA
Rfam family: Bacterial small subunit ribosomal RNA
Source: RNAcentral
CCUACGGGAGGCAGCAGUGGGGAAUAUUGCACAAUGGGCGCAAGCCUGAUGCAGCCAUGCCGCGUGUAUGAAGAAGGCCUUCGGGUUGUAAAGUACUUUCAGCGGGGAGGAAGGGAUGGUGCUUAAUACGCGCCGUCAUUGACGUUACCCGCAGAAGAAGCACCGGCUAACUCCGUGCCAGCAGCCGCGGUAAU